RNAcentral lists this long non-coding RNA (2294 nucleotides) under Podarcis lilfordi (Lilford's wall lizard). The record is from RNAcentral. Lineage: Eukaryota; Metazoa; Chordata; Lepidosauria; Squamata; Lacertidae.
CAGACUUUUAGAAAAUAUUCUUGUAUGAUAAGGGAGGAAAAUAAUUCUUUCAUGGACCUGGUAGACUAGUCUGUAGGACAGCAAGAUCUUGGAUGACAUCAUCAUCAUAAUCAUUUACUUAUUUACUUAUGUACUUACUUACUUACAUACUUGUACCUCACUCAUCUGACUCAGUUGCCCCAGCCACUCUGGGUGGCUUCCAACACAAUAUAAGCACAAGAAAACAUCAGACAUUAAAAGCUUCCUGAAACAUGACAGCCUUCGGAUAUCUAUGGAAGGUCAUAUAAUUGUUUAUCUCUUUGACAUCUGACGGGAGGGCGUUCCGCAGGGCAGGUGCCGCUACCAAGAACGCCCUCUGCCUGGUUCCCUGUAACUUCACUUCUCACAAUUGAGGGAACAGCCAGGAAGCCUUCAGAACUGGUGUCUGGGCUGAGUGAUGGGGGUGGAGAUGCUCCUUCAGGUAUAUCGGCCAUUUAGGGCUUUAAAGGUCAGCACCAACACUUUGAAUUGUGCUCAGAAACAUACUGGGAGCCAGUGUAGGUCUUUUAGGACCAGUGUUAUAUGGUCCCAGCCCCUGCUCCCAGUCACCAGUCUGGCAGCUGCAUUCUGGAAUAAUUGUAGUUUCUGAGUCACCUUCAAAGGUAGCCCCAUGUAGAGCACAUUGCAUUUGUCCAAGUGGGAGAUAACCAGAACAUGUACCACUCUGGUGAGACAGGCAGGUAGGGUCUCAGCUGGCGUACCAGAUGGAGCUGGUAGGCAGCUGCCCUGGAAACAGAACUGACCUGCACUUGGUUCCCCAUCUGUGGAAGCCUCUUCCCAGGGAAACUGGCUAAAAAUACACCAUCAGAGAUGCUUCAGUCAAAUGCAUGCCUUCUUCCAGCAUAGCAAUGGUGAAAUUAAGUACGUAAACUCUGAGGAAGAAGCAGAACAUGCCCACAUUUUAUACUGGAAAUGGGGGAAAAGUUCUUAGUCGUGCUAAAAGGAAGUGGUGCCAAAUCUUCUUGACAUGGCGACAUCCCGUUCUUAGGAGCGAAAUGCAAAAUAGCCCUUAGUCUGCUUAAUGUACUAAAAUUGAAAAGAGCCUAUGAGAGAUGAGACAGGCACCUUAGAAAACAGAAUUUAAAAGGCAAAGCAAUGCAGGGGAAACAAGAGACAAGCUCAUUAAAAGUGUUCUAUGAAAGCUUGGCUCCAGAAAACCCCCGUCUCCAUCCAGUCCUGUCUGCCACCCAGUGUUAGCUGAAAACUUGUGAUGUGUUGGCAAGUGAUCUUUGAGUGAAUCCCAUUGAGCAGUAUUCCGGACUCACUCCAUUCCAUACGCUGGGAAAUUCCCCCUCCCCGCCCAUUGAAAGCAGCCAUUCAUAUGACUCGGGUUUCUCUUUCCUUUCUUUAGAACCAGAAUUCAACAUCAUUAACAAGGAGAUAGGCCUACAUAUGGAGGAAGAAGCAGUUGCCGGGGGGGAGACAAGCAUUUCCUCUGUGUCAGGCUGGUUCUUGAAUGAGUCAGCAAGCAGAGGAUGAACUAGGGUUCCACACCUCCAGCAAGUUCUCAUCAAUGGGAAAUGUCCAGCUUUCAUGCACCGUCUCGAUUCCUUUGUUCCAUGCGACCCCCAUGCCUGGGAUUGCGUGGGUGGCAACAGCCAGAGCCAAGCAUCAGUUAGAUGUGUGGAGGAACCCUCUUGUGGGUUUGCUUCUUGACUUCAGGAGGUUCUGCAUGAGAAAAUUUCCCAACCAUUGUUUUGCUGAGGGAGCUCUGCUGUACCGCAAGUGAGUCUGAAAUGAGUGCAUUGAGAUGCAAAUAAACUUUGCUUUGAAUUUCUUUUUUUUAAACUUUGGACACCCACAGAAAUGAUGUGUGAUGGCUUGGGACUCGGGCUUGGAUUCGGAACCAGAGGAGUCUCAAUCCGCACUUGAUCCUCUGCCUCAGACUGUGAACCGAGUCUGGGGCCUGAUUCUGAAGAGUCCCAGUCUGCACAGGUUCCCCUGCAACAAGUACCAGCUGGGCCGAGACAGGGGCCUGAGCCUUCCCUGGCUCCAGAUGUGGGGAUUACCUCGUUGCCCUCUGCUGGGCAAUCACGUACAGCUGCUCCACUACCAGUUGGGUCAGGAGAGGCUGAGGCGGCUUCUGGGUGUAGUAACCCACCGACAUCUCCCAAGCUGUAGAGACUCAGGUCUGAGAGAAGGAGAGACCUGAGUACUCACACGAGGAGUGCUCGCCUUCGGGCGAAACAGGGAGGUGAGUCAUUGGGGGAUCAGGACUGGCCGUUACCCCAUCAGAGAUAAAAGGCUGCCGGACA